GCGAGUCGAGAGGGUUCGGCCCUCGGCUGACUGCUCAGUAACACGUGGAUAACUUGCCCUCAGGUAGGGGAUAAUCUCGGGAAACUGAGGAUAAUACCCUAUAAACAUCCUUUGCUGGAAUGCUUGGAUGUUCAAAGGCAACGCCUGAGGAUAGGUCUGCGGCCUAUCAGGUUGUAGUGGGUGUAACGGACCCACUAGCCCGCGACGGGUACGGGCCUUGAAAGAGGUAGCCCGGAGAUGGACUCUGAGACACGAGUCCAGGCCCUACGGGGCGCAGCAGGCGCGAAAACUUCGCAAUGCGGGAAACCGUGACGAGGGAAUUCCGAGUGCUCAUACAAUGUAUGGGCUUUUCUGAUGUGUAAAAAGCAUUAGGAAUAAGGGCUGGGUAAGACCGGUGCCAGCCGCCGCGGUAAUACCGGCAGCUCUAGUGGUAGCCACUUUUAUUGGGCCUAAAGCGUCCGUAGCCGGUCGGGUAAAUCCUUGGGUAAAUCGUACAGCUUAACUGUGCGGCUUCCGGGGAGACUGCCUGACUUGGGACCGGGAGAGGUUGGAGGUACUCCUGGGGUAGGGGUGAAAUCCUGUAAUCCUAGGUGGACCACCGGUGGCGAAGGCGUCCAACCAGAACGGCUCCGACGGUGAGGGACGAAGGCUAGGGGCGCAAACCGGAUUAGAUACCCGGGUAGUCCUAGCUGUAAACGCUGCAGACUUGGUGUUGGAGAUCCCACGAGGGUGUCCAGUGCCGGAGAGAAGUUGUUAAGUUUGCCGCCUGGGAAGUAUGGCCGCAAGGCUGAAACUUAAAGGAAUUGGCGGGA
RNAcentral lists this ribosomal RNA (812 nucleotides) under uncultured archaeon. Its description in RNAcentral is "bacterial SSU rRNA". It matches the Rfam family "Archaeal small subunit ribosomal RNA", at positions 53 to 873 of the family's 1478-position model. The record is from RNAcentral.